RNAcentral lists this ribosomal RNA (329 nucleotides) under uncultured eukaryote. RNAcentral's name for it is "partial 18S ribosomal RNA". It matches the Rfam family "Eukaryotic small subunit ribosomal RNA", at positions 1470 to 1796 of the family's 1831-position model. The record is from RNAcentral.
CCCUUAGAUGUCCUGGGCCGCACGCGCGCUACACUGAGUGUCUGAGAUACGAGUCUGCCUGGUCCGGCAAGGUCUAGGUAAUCGCCAAAAGACACAUCAUGCUUGGGAUAGAUUAUUGCAAAUAUUAAUCUUGAACGAGGAAUUCCUAGUAAGCGCAAGUCAACAGCUUGCGUUGAUUACGUCCCUGCCCUUUGUACACACCGCCCGUCGCUACUACUGAUUGGAUGUUUAAGCGAGGUUCUCGAACUGCUAGCGACUUAGCUUCGGUGAGGUCGCAGUGUGGGAAGUGAACCGAGCUUUGGUGUCUAGAGGAAGUAAAAGUCGUAACA